UACGGGGGGGGCAAGCGUUGUUCGGAAUUACUGGGCGUAAAGGGCUCGUAGGUGGCCAACUAAGUCAGACGUGAAAUCCCUCGGCUUAACCGGGGAACUGCGUCUGAUACUGGAUGGCUUGAGUCCGGGAGAGGUGAGUGGAACUGCGAGUGUAGAGGUGAAAUUCGUAGAUAUUCGCAAGAACACCAGUGGCGAAGGCGGCUCACUGGCCCGGUACUGACGCUGAGGUGCGAAAGCGUGGGGAGCAAACAGG
RNAcentral lists this ribosomal RNA (253 nucleotides) under uncultured bacterium. RNAcentral describes it as "partial 16S ribosomal RNA". It matches the Rfam family "Bacterial small subunit ribosomal RNA", at positions 524 to 776 of the family's 1533-position model. The record is from RNAcentral.